CCUACGGGAGGCAGCAGUGAGGAAUAUUGGUCAAUGGGCGGGAGCCUGAACCAGCCAAGCCGCGUGAGGGAAGAAGGUACAGCGUAUCGUAAACCUCUUUUGUCAGGGAACAAAGGCGGGGACUAGUCCCCGGAUGAGGGUACCUGAAGAAAAAGCAUCGGCUAACUCCGUGCCAGCAGCCGCGGUAAU
This 189-nucleotide ribosomal RNA is filed under the name uncultured bacterium. RNAcentral's name for it is "partial 16S ribosomal RNA". It matches the Rfam family "Bacterial small subunit ribosomal RNA", at positions 338 to 524 of the family's 1533-position model. The record is from RNAcentral.